GGAUUAGAUACCCUGGUAGUCCACGCCGUAAACGAUGUCUACUAGCCGUUGGGACCCUUGAGGUCUUAGUGGCGCAGCUAACGCACUAAGUAGACCGCCUGGGGAGUACGGUCGCAAGAUUAAAACUCAAAUGAAUUGACGGGGGCCCGCACAAGCGGUGGAGCAUGUGGUUUAAUUCGAAGCAACGCGAAGAACCUUACCUACUCUUGACAUCCAGAGAACUUUCCAGAGAUGGAUUGGUGCCUUCGGGAACUCUGAGACAGGUGCUGCAUGGCUGUCGUCAGCUCGUGCUG
RNAcentral lists this ribosomal RNA (293 nucleotides) under uncultured bacterium. Its description in RNAcentral is "partial 16S ribosomal RNA". It matches the Rfam family "Bacterial small subunit ribosomal RNA", at positions 775 to 1067 of the family's 1533-position model. The record is from RNAcentral.